Molecule: ribosomal RNA, 646 nt
Filed under: Pomatosace filicula
Lineage: Eukaryota; Viridiplantae; Streptophyta; Magnoliopsida; Ericales; Primulaceae
Description: eukaryotic LSU rRNA
Rfam family: 5.8S ribosomal RNA (bases 253-408)
Source: RNAcentral
AAACCUGCCUAGCAGAACGACCCGCGAACUCGUAUCUAARCCGGAGAGGCGACGGAAGGGCCUUCGGUCCCCCGGCGUCCCUCCGAUGCCAAGGGGCGGGAUCCMUCGUCCUCGCGGCGAAGGCCCCCCGCAUUCCUGGCCCUAACAAAAACCCCGGCGCGAACCGCGCCAAGGAAAUCAAACRAAGAUGUCGCGCGCUCGRCUCCCGUCCGCGGGUGGCCGGACGCGUCGUAAUCUUGCAUAUAACAAAACGACUCUCGGCAACGGAUAUCUAGGCUCUCGCAUCGAUGAAGAACGUAGCAAAAUGCGAUACUUGGUGUGAAUUGCAGAAUCCCGUGAACCAUCGAGUUUUUGAACGCAAGUUGCGCCCGAAGCCUUCAGGCCGAGGGCACGUCUGCCUGGGCGUCUCAUAACGCGUCGUUCCCCCCCGCUCCCCUUAAAACGGUUGUCGGCGGGCGGAACGGAUACUGGCUCCCCGUGCGCUACCGUGCGCGGCCGGCCUAAAAAAGAGUCCCGACGGUCGACGUCGCGGCAAGUGGUGGUUGUCAAAACUCUCGCAUGUCUGUCGCGCGCGCUUCGGUCCGAACCGGUCGACUCCAAUGACCCUGAGGCCCCGUUUCACGACGGUGCUUCGAUCGCGACCCCA